AGAGAGAGAGAGAGACAGAGAGGGGGGUUGUAGCGGUGAGAGUGAAGCUGCAGGUCCAUCAUGGUGAAGAUCAGCUGCGCGGCGAUAAAUGGCAUUAAAGCCGAGAAAGAGGAGCGCGAGGAUCCGGAGCGCAUCUACAUCCCGCCGCAGCACGUGGGUGUGACCCAGUGCUCGUCCCUGAGUGGACUCUGUUGUUUACUGAUUGCUCUCAUAAUCAGCUCCUGCAGCCUGGUGUAUGCCUCCAUCUACAUCUACCGCUAUUAUAUUAUCCCUCAGGCAGGUGAGUCUCAGUUCCGGUGUAAUGUUUAUUAUGAAGACACUCUGAAGGCACCUCAGCAUGAUCAAGAGGAACUGCAGGAGAAUGUUGACAUCAACCUGCAAAAAAACUACGAAAGAAUCAGCAUCAAUGCUGGCAGCACAAACCCACGGACACGUCCUGCUACCAUCAUACAUGACUUCAACAAGGGUCUGACUGCAUAUCACGACAUCACUCUGGAUAAGUGUUACAUCAGCACAUUGAACAGCAGCAUCGUUCUGCCACCAAGGAACCUGUGGAAGCUCCUCAUCAAUGUCAAACUGAGAACUGGCAAUGAUGCAUCUCUCCCGCAGACGUACAUGGUUCAGGAGGAGAUGGUGGUGUCUGAGCAGGUGACGAACACGCGUGUGUUUGGCAUGUUUAUCCACAGACUGUGUGAAGGGAAACCAACUUAUCAGAUUAGACGUCGCCUCACACGCCGCCGUAUUGCGAAGCGUGAGGAGCAGAUCUGUCACUCCAUCCGUCACUUUGAGAACACAUUUGUAAUGGACACGCUGAUAUGUGAUGCACCCUGAGUCCAACCUUCACCUCACACCAUCACUCUGUUUCCCUCCCAAUCACUUCUUUAUUUCUUUCAUGAUUUAACUGGAUUUAUGACAAAGAAGAUACGCUUAUUCGCUCCAUGUAGCAUUUCAAGCCUGUAACUGCUUUAGUUUAUCAACAAUUCGAUUGUUAUUUCUAUAGUCGAGUUCAUCUUUACACUUAUAUAAUUAUAAACCACUGUAAAUGUGGACUGUGUAUGAACCUCAUCCUGAUCUGAUUAAUGUAGCUAAAACAUCUGAGUAAAUAAAGAACAUCAACACUU
Molecule: RNA transcript, 1121 nt
Organism: Silurus meridionalis
Lineage: Eukaryota; Metazoa; Chordata; Actinopteri; Siluriformes; Siluridae
Gene name: integral membrane protein 2C-like
Exons: 7
Source: RefSeq, a predicted model, not a curated record